Molecule: long non-coding RNA, 597 nt
Organism: Zophobas morio
Lineage: Eukaryota; Metazoa; Arthropoda; Insecta; Coleoptera; Tenebrionidae
Exons: 5
Source: RefSeq, a predicted model, not a curated record
GAGUAUUGAAAGUUGCAUGAACUCCUAUUUUUCAAAUUACUUAUUACCAUCAAUCGAAAGAGUAAAGCUUAAAUUAGGCUGUGACCAUGCAACUCAGAUCCUUAUUUCCAACAUUGAAGAAACGUUUAAACAUAUCGAUAAAGAACUCCCCUCUUUACUUACAGAAUUUAUAUUAACCGUGGCAACUAUAGAAAAAAUUAACUCAAUUGCACCUUCUGUUUUGGAUAACGUCAACUUUAACCAAAAUUCUAAAGAAUUAACAACUGUAAACUUUCAGUAUAGAAAAAGCAACGAUAAUAAAAUCCUGAAUGACUUUUUAGCGAGCAGCGCUGUUUUGACGGAAGAAAUUAAUAACAUCUUACGCCUUCAAUUUAAAGAUGAUUGCAAUAUUUUUAAAAAAAUCAAAACUUUAGCGGAGGCAAUCAAACAGUACCUUUCGGAACUCGGGCUAAUUAUAAAUUUAUGUAAAAACUCAAGCAUCGAGACUGAUUUCUAUAUACAAUUUACUAAACUGGGAGAGGAAAUCAUCUCUGUAAGUCUAAAGUUAAGCGGCCAUCUUAAAAAUUAUUUUUACUCAACGAUGGAAUCAAAAGAAGC